CCUACGGGAGGCAGCAGUCGAGAAUCAUUCACAAUGGGGGAAACCCUGAUGGUGCGACGCCGCGUGGGGGAAUGAAGGUCUUCGGAUUGUAAACCCCUGUCAUGGGGGAGCAAAUUAAAAAGAUAGUACCACAAGAGGAAGAGACGGCUAACUCUGUGCCAGCAGCCGCGGUAAGACAGAGGGCUCAAGCGUUGUUCGGAAUCACUGGGCGUAAAGCGUGCGUAGGCUGUUUCGUAAGUCGGGUGUGAAAGGCGCGGGCUCAACCCGCGGACGGCACAUGAUACUGCGAGACUAGUGUAAUGGAGGGGUAACUGGAAUUCUCGGUGUAGCAGUGAAAUGCGUAGAUAUCGGGAGGAACACUCGUGGCGAAGGCGGGUUCCUGGACAUUAACUGACGCUGAGGCACGAAGGCCAGGGGAGCGAAAGGGAUUAGAUACCCUGGUAGUC
RNAcentral lists this ribosomal RNA (446 nucleotides) under uncultured bacterium. RNAcentral's name for it is "partial 16S ribosomal RNA". It matches the Rfam family "Bacterial small subunit ribosomal RNA", at positions 338 to 795 of the family's 1533-position model. The record is from RNAcentral.